CGAGUCCGAGUCUCCACGGAGACGAAGUGGCGGUCAUCCAGCUUCCCAGAAAAGCUCUAACCACGUUAAUCUUUAGUUGCCUGUACCCGAAACCGACACAGGUAGGGGGGUAGAGAAUACCAAGGGGCGCGAGAUAACUCUCUCUAAGGAACUCGGCAAAAUGACCCCGUAACUUCGGGAGAAGGGGUACCACUGAGAAGUGGUCGCAGUGAAGAGGCCCAGGCGACUGUUUACCAAAAACACAGGUCUCCGCCAAGUCGCAAGACGAAGUAUGGGGGCUGACGCCUGCCCAGUGCCGGAAGGUUAAGGAAGUGGGUUAGGGAUUCGUCCCGAAGCUGACGACUGAAGCCCCGGUGAACGGCGGCCGUAACUAUAACGGUCCUAAGGUAGCGAAAUUCCUUGUCGGGUAAGUUCCGACCCGCACGAAAGGCGUAACGAUCUGGGCGCUGUCUCGGAGAGAGGCUCGGCGAAAUAGGAAUGUCUGUGAAGAUACGGACUACCUGCACCUGGACAGAAAGACCCUAUGAAGCUUUACUGUAGCUUGGAAUUGGGUUCGGGCUUGGUUUGCGCAGGAUAGGUGGGAGGCGAAGAAGAUUUGCUUGUGGGUGAAUCUGAGCCAACGGUGAGAUACCACUCUAACCAGGCUAGAAUUCUAACUUCAACCCGUCAACCGGGGGAAGGACAGUUUCAGGUGGGCAGUUUGACUGGGGCGGUCGCCUCCUAAAAGAUAACGGAGGCGCACAAAGGUUCCCUCAGGCUGGUUGGAAGUCAGCCAACGAGUGCAAAGGCAGAAGGGAGCUUGACUGCGAGACCUACAAGUCAAGCAGGGUGGAAACACGGUCUUAGUGAUCCGACGGCACCGAGUGGAAGGGCCGUCGCUCAACGGAUAAAAGUUACUCUAGGAUAACAGGCUGAUCUCCCCCAAGAGUUCACAUCGACGGGGAGGUUUGGCACCUCGAUGUCGGCUCAUCGCAACCUGGGGCGGAAGUACGUCCCAAGGGUUGGGCUGUUCGCCCAUUAAAGCGGUACGUGAGCUGGGUUCAGAACGUCGUGAGACAGUUCGGUCCAUAUCCGGUGUAGGCGCAAGAACAUUGAGAGGAGUCUUCCUUAGUACGAGAGGACCGGGAAGAACGCGCCGCUGGUGUACCUGUUAUCGUGCCAACGGUAAACGCAGGGUAGCCAAGUGCGGAGUGGAUAACCGCUGAAAGCAUCUAAGUGGGAAGCCCACCUCAAGAUGAGUGUUCUCAUGGAGUAAUCCAGUAAGGUCACGGGAAGACGACCCGUUGAUAGGCGGUAGGUGGAAGUUCAGCAAUGGAUGAAGCCGAGCCGUACUAACAGACCGAGGGCUUGACC
RNAcentral lists this ribosomal RNA (1353 nucleotides) under metagenome. RNAcentral's name for it is "bacterial LSU rRNA". It matches the Rfam family "Bacterial large subunit ribosomal RNA", at positions 1564 to 2925 of the family's 2925-position model. The record is from RNAcentral.